UACGUAGGCAGCGAGCGUUGUUCGGAGUUACUGGGCGUAAAGGGUGUGUAGGCGGUUGUUUAAGUUUGGUGUGAAAUCUCCCGGCUCAACUGGGAGGGUGCGCCGAAUACUGAAUGACUAGAGUGCGGGAGAGGAAAGUGGAAUUCCUGGUGUAGCGGUGAAAUGCGUAGAUAUCAAGAGGAACACCGGUGGUGUAGACGGCUUUCUGGACCGUAACUGACGCUGAGACACGAAAGCGUGGGUAGCAAACAGG
RNAcentral lists this ribosomal RNA (253 nucleotides) under uncultured bacterium. Its description in RNAcentral is "partial 16S ribosomal RNA". It matches the Rfam family "Bacterial small subunit ribosomal RNA", at positions 524 to 776 of the family's 1533-position model. The record is from RNAcentral.